RNAcentral lists this ribosomal RNA (443 nucleotides) under uncultured bacterium. RNAcentral's name for it is "partial 16S ribosomal RNA". It matches the Rfam family "Bacterial small subunit ribosomal RNA", at positions 338 to 795 of the family's 1533-position model. The record is from RNAcentral.
CCUACGGGAGGCUGCAGUGGGGGAUAUUGGACAAUGGGGGGAACCCUGAUCCAGCGACGCCGCGUGAGUGAAGAAGUAUUUCGGUAUGUAAAGCUCUGUCAGCAGGGAAGAAAGAAAUGACGGUACCUGACCAAGAAGCCCCGGCUAACUACGUGCCAGCAGCCGCGGGAAUACGUAGGGGGCAAGCGUUAUCCGGAAUUACUGGGUGUAAAGGGAGCGUAGACGGUUAAGUAAGUCUGGAGUGAAAGGCCGGGGCCCAACCCCGGGACUGCUCUGGAAACUAUUGAACUUGAGUGCAGGAGAGGUAAGCGGAAUUCCUAGUGUAGCGGUGAAAUGCGUAGAUAUUAGGAGGAACACCAGUGGCGAAGGCGGCUUACUGGACUGUAACUGACGUUGAGGCUCGAAAGCGUGGGGAGCAAACAGGAUUAGAUACCCUUGUAGUC